GAUGAACGCUGGCGGCGUGCCUAAUACAUGCAAGUCGAGCGAACGGACGAGAAGCUUGCUUCUCUGAUGUUAGCGGCGGACGGGUGAGUAACACGUGGAUAACCUACCUAUAAGACUGGGAUAACUUCGGGAAACCGGAGCUAAUACCGGAUAAUAUUUUGAACCGCAUGGUUCAAAAGUGAAAGACGGUCUUGCUGUCACUUAUAGAUGGAUCCGCGCUGCAUUAGCUAGUUGGUAAGGUAACGGCUUACCAAGGCAACGAUGCAUAGCCGACCUGAGAGGGUGAUCGGCCACACUGGAACGGAGACACGGUCCAGACUCCUACGGGGGGCAGCAGUAGGGAAUCUUGCGCAAUGGGCGAAAGCCGGACGGGGCAACGCCGCGUGAGUGAUGAAGGUCUUCGGAUCGUAAAACUCUGUUAUUAGGGAAGAACAUAUGUGUAAGGAACUGUGCACAUCUUGACGGUACCUAAUCAGAAAGCCACGGCUAACUACGUG
Molecule: ribosomal RNA, 497 nt
Filed under: uncultured bacterium
Lineage: Bacteria
Description: partial 16S ribosomal RNA
Rfam family: Bacterial small subunit ribosomal RNA
Source: RNAcentral